Molecule: ribosomal RNA, 484 nt
Filed under: uncultured bacterium
Lineage: Bacteria
Description: partial 16S ribosomal RNA
Rfam family: Bacterial small subunit ribosomal RNA
Source: RNAcentral
AUUGAACGCUGGCGGCAGGCCUAACACAUGCAAGUCGAGCGGAUGAAGGGAGCUUGCUCCUGGAUUCAGCGGCGGACGGGUGAGUAAUGCCUAGGAAUCUGCCUGGUAGUGGGGGAUAACGUCCGGAAACGGGCGCUAAUACCGCAUACGUCCUGAGGGAGAAAGUGGGGGAUCUUCGGACCUCACGCUAUCAGAUGAGCCUAGGUCGGAUUAGCUAGUUGGUGGGGUAAAGGCCUACCAAGGCGACGAUCCGUAACUGGUCCGAGAGGAUGAUCAGUCACACUGGAACUGAGACACGGUCCAGACUCCUAAGGGAGGGAGCAGUGGGGAAUAUUGGACAAUGGGCGAAAGCCUGAUCCAGCCAGGCCGCGUGUGUGAAGAAGGUCUUCGGAUUGUAAAGCACUUUAAGUUGGGAGGAAGGGCAGUAAGUUAAUACCUUGCUGUUUUGACGUUACCAACAGAAUAAGCACCGGCUAACUUCGUG